This 852-nucleotide ribosomal RNA is filed under the name Triticum aestivum (bread wheat). RNAcentral's name for it is "partial small subunit ribosomal RNA". Lineage: Eukaryota; Viridiplantae; Streptophyta; Magnoliopsida; Poales; Poaceae. The record is from RNAcentral.
AUGCCUUUCUACCACACGUCCCCAAUGCAGCCGCCGCCGUUCUACUUCCAUGCAGUUGCAGUUCCCGUGCCGUCGUCCGCGGUGCCGGUGCGCUCUGUGUGGGCGUGGAACUUCAGGGAGGAAUCUGACAGGCUAUGCCACUUGGCCUGGAACGCCCGGUACGUCGCCGUCAACGUGCACUACCCGGGCCUCGUCCACCACGCGGACCGGAACCACAACAUACUCACCGUGGAGGAGCGCUACGCCGUGGUGAAGGCCAACGUGGACGCGCUCAAGCCGCUCCAGGUGGGCAUCGCGCUCCGCGACGGCCACGGCCGGCACCUCGGCGCGUGGGAGUUCAACCUCCGCGACUUCUGCCCCGUGUCCGACCCGCACGACGAGAGCUCCCUCGCGUACCUCGCCGGCCGCGGCCUCGACGUGGACAGGCUCCGCGUCCGCGGCCUCAGCGCCAAGAUGCUCAGGGAGAAGCUGCUGCGUUCCGGCCUGUUCGACCCUCGGUGUGCUGCGCGAUCGUGGGUCACCUACGCCGGGGCGUACCACAUUGCGUACCUCCUCAAGAUCGUCACCGGCGGCGCCCCGCUGCCGCAGGACAUGGCCGGGUUCGUCGGCGCCGUUCGGCGUUACCUUGGCGUCCAGGUGUACGACGUCGCGAGGAUGGCGGCCGAAUGCCCGGGCAUGCCGCUGGGGCUGGAGCGCAUCGCUGAUCACCUCGGCUUCCAUCCGCCGUUGGGGAGCCCUCGCCUCGCGGCUGCCGCGGGCGUGCACGCGCUGCAGGUCUUCAUGCGGCUCAAGUACAGAGAGUUGGGCGGCGACGUGGAGAGACACCGAGGCCUGCUUCAUGGCCUGCACUAG